Molecule: long non-coding RNA, 918 nt
Organism: Anas platyrhynchos (mallard)
Lineage: Eukaryota; Metazoa; Chordata; Aves; Anseriformes; Anatidae
Source: RefSeq, a predicted model, not a curated record
UUCCAAUGCAAUCAGGGAAGAAAAUGUAGCUGAACUGUUUUCUUUUACAAAGCACUCUUUCUCUCAUGCCUCAUCUCCACACUUGCUUAAUAUACUCCUCCUCCAUCGUUAUGCUGCGUGGCUUUUACUAAUACUGCACGGAUGUUGUUUAAACAGGCUGCUUGACAGUGAUGCAUGAGGAGGCUCCUGUGAGCAAGUGCUGCCCUCCUCUCUCUCCUGACACAGCCAUUGCUUCUAGCUGUGUCACAGCUUACAGAAGAUCACACUGGAGUUGAGGAUUCUGCUCUAAUCACCACAGUUUCUCUCUGACAUUGCUACUCAAGGCAUCUUGACUACCCUUGGACAAGAAAGAAGUUUUCCUGUCUUUCACGUUAGUAAGAAAAAGAAUGGAUCAUAAUUAUGAGGGUGACACUUUUAUAGAGAAAGAGAUGAGAGAGCAGUUACCACCUCCAGCACAAAAAAAGUCAUUCUAUAUUUGAGUAUAUCCAGAAUCAAGAAAAAAAAUAUAUGGCAAAACAUAACAUAGACCAGCCAGUAUUUUCAUUGACAGAGAAAUAGCAUCUUAUUUUUCUCCAACUAUCUGCUGCAUCAAUAAAUAAAACUGUAGUAGUUUUAUGGCUUUGUCUAAGAGUAAAUCCCCCCAAAUUACCUUAUGUUGUAAGGGUUAAUAUUAUUAUUACUUUACAAACCAAAAAUUAGUAAGCAAAAAGCAAAUGUUAGAGUAAAGCCAAAUCUUUGCCAGCUCUUGAGCAGUGAUACUUAGUCUAUUGCACUGAGUAACCUCUCUUAGUUUUAACUCUUCCUCUCUCAAAGUGAGCCACACCUUAGUUUUUACAGAGUGCUGUUUAUUCAUUUAUUUAUGUAUCUAUGUGCCAGAGAGUGUGGACCUGAAGAACACAGUUGUGGACAACACGGAAU